AGGUGCGAUCAUACCAGCACUAAUGCACCGGAUCCCAUCAGUACUUCGCAGUUAAGCGCGCUUGGGCGAGAGUAGUACUAGGAUGGGUGACCUCCUAGGAAGUCCUCGUGUUGCACCUC
RNAcentral lists this ribosomal RNA (119 nucleotides) under Vigna angularis (adzuki bean). The record is from RNAcentral. Lineage: Eukaryota; Viridiplantae; Streptophyta; Magnoliopsida; Fabales; Fabaceae.